CCCUUAGACGUUCUGGGCCGCACGCGCGCUACACUGACCAGUGCAACAAGCAUCCGUCCUUGGCCGACAGGCUCGGGCAAUCUUUGAACGCUGGUCGUGAUGGGGAUAGACUUUUGCAAUUUUUGGUCUUCAACGAGGAAUUCCUAGUAAACGCAAGUCAUCAACUUGCAUUGAUUACGUCCCUGCCCUUUGUACACACCGCCCGUCGCACCUACCGAUUGAAUGGUCCGGUGAAGCCUCCGGAUUGGCGCGCACCUCGGUGCCGCCGAGAAGUUGGCUAAACCUUACCAUUUAGAAGAAGGUGAAGUCGUAACA
This 315-nucleotide ribosomal RNA is filed under the name uncultured eukaryote. Its description in RNAcentral is "partial 18S ribosomal RNA". It matches the Rfam family "Eukaryotic small subunit ribosomal RNA", at positions 1470 to 1796 of the family's 1831-position model. The record is from RNAcentral.